AUUGAACGCUGGCGGAAUGCUUUACACAUGCAAGUCGAACGGUAGAGGGGGCAACCCCUUGAGAGUGGCGAACGGGUGAGUAAUAUAUCGGAACGUGCCCAGUCGUGGGGAUAACGUAGCGAAAGUUACGCUAAUACCGCAUACGAUCUAAGGAUGAAAGCGGGGGGAUCGCAAGACCUCGCGCGAUUGGAGCGGCCGAUAUCAGAUUAGGUAGUUGGUGGGGUAAAGCUCACCAAGCCAACGAUCUGUAGCUGGUCUGAGAGGACGACCAGCCACACUGGAACUGAGACACGGCCCAGACUCCUACGGGAGGCAGCAGUGGGGAAUUUGGACAAUUGGGCGCAAGCCUGAUCCAGCAAUGCCGCGUGCAGGAUGAAGGCCUUGGUGUAACUAGCUUUGUUACGG
Molecule: ribosomal RNA, 405 nt
Filed under: uncultured bacterium
Lineage: Bacteria
Description: bacterial SSU rRNA
Rfam family: Bacterial small subunit ribosomal RNA
Source: RNAcentral